AUGAAGCCGGCCAUCGUCUCGAGCUGCUCCGUGCAGUCCCUACGUCAAAGCGGCCCGGCUUCGGCUAACACCACCAUCCACAUUGGCUGGAAGCGCAGGCCAAGAGGUCCUCGUGCGCCAGACGAGAGGGUUGUAGUAGCUGAUCGUGUACCGCCACUAGAAGCUGCUAUUCGAGGAUUUGCUGACAGGGGGACUGAGGUGGUCGUCAACCCGGUGCUUGGCACUAUUUUUGAUUCGCUGGCAGAGGCAUAUGAAUUCUACAAUCUAUAUUCAUGGGAGGUGGGCUUUGGGAUUUGUUACGGCAAGAGCAGGCAAAAUGUCAAUGGGACAAAACAAGUGGUACUGGAACAACGGCUGGUGCAUGGGCCUUAA
This 372-nucleotide ribosomal RNA is filed under the name Triticum aestivum (bread wheat). Its description in RNAcentral is "partial small subunit ribosomal RNA". The record is from RNAcentral. Lineage: Eukaryota; Viridiplantae; Streptophyta; Magnoliopsida; Poales; Poaceae.